AUAAAACAUAAAAAUCGAGUAAAUUACGUGAGAGAUUGUGAUAUAAAUUA
RNAcentral lists this non-coding RNA (50 nucleotides) under Trypanosoma brucei brucei. Lineage: Eukaryota; Euglenozoa; Kinetoplastea; Trypanosomatida; Trypanosomatidae. The record is from RNAcentral.